AGCUAUGGAAAAGUCUGCAAGGUUAUGGUAUAGUCUAUGUAAUAGAGUUUUAGUGGACAUGUAACGUAAUGAAAUGUAAAAUGAUGUAAUGUAAAGUAAUGUAUGAGGAAUAGUAUUGUGCUUGGCCCUAAUGUCUAUGGUUAAUCCCUUUUUGUACAUGAUCUAUAUGAAAUGUUUAAUGAUAAGAAAUGUUGAACCAAGCUUGAUGUAUGAUAUGUUGACCCACUAGAGCUUUUGAUGAGGGCUCUAGUAUGGGGUCUUAUGUUUACAGUAUGGUGCAUGCACAGGUCAAG
Molecule: long non-coding RNA, 293 nt
Filed under: Manihot esculenta (cassava)
Lineage: Eukaryota; Viridiplantae; Streptophyta; Magnoliopsida; Malpighiales; Euphorbiaceae
Description: long non-coding RNA (MESC_LNC008114)
Source: RNAcentral